CCUACGGGAGGCAGCAGUGAGGAAUAUUGGUCAAUGGUCGGGAGACUGAACCAGCCAAGCCGCGUGAGGGAUGACGGUACAGAGUAUCGUAAACCUCUUUUGUCAGGGAACAAAGGCGGGGACGUGUCCCCGGAUGAGUGUACCUGAAGAAAAAGCAUCGGCUAACUCCGUGCCAGCAGCCGCGGUAAUACGGAGGAUGCGAGCGUUAUCCGGAUUUAUUGGGUUUAAAGGGUGCGCAGGAGGGCUGUUAAGUCAGCGGUCAAAGCCCGGGGCUCAACCCCGGCCCGCCGUUGAAACUGGCAGUCGCGAGUUGGAGAGAAGUAUGCGGAAUGCGCGGUGUAGCGGUGAAAUGCAUAGAUAUCGCGCAGAACUCCGAUUGCGAAGGCAGCAUGCCGGCUCCACACUGACGCUGAGGCACGAAAGCGUGGGUAUCGAACAGGAUUAGAUACCCCGGUAGUC
RNAcentral lists this ribosomal RNA (459 nucleotides) under uncultured bacterium. RNAcentral describes it as "partial 16S ribosomal RNA". It matches the Rfam family "Bacterial small subunit ribosomal RNA", at positions 338 to 795 of the family's 1533-position model. The record is from RNAcentral.